This 253-nucleotide ribosomal RNA is filed under the name uncultured bacterium. RNAcentral's name for it is "partial 16S ribosomal RNA". It matches the Rfam family "Bacterial small subunit ribosomal RNA", at positions 524 to 776 of the family's 1533-position model. The record is from RNAcentral.
UACGAAGGGAGCUAGCGUUGUUCGGAAUUACUGGGCGUAAAGGGUGCGUAGGCGGUUCGACAAGUCAGAUGUGAAAGCCCUGGGCUCAACCCGGGAACUGCGUUUGAUACUGUCGUGCUUGAAUUCGGGAGAGGUGAGUGGAAUUCCCAGUGUAGAGGUGAAAUUCGUAGAGAUUGGGAAGAACACCGGUGGCGAAGGCGGCUCACUGGACCGACAUUGACGCUGAGGCACGAAAGCGUGGGGAGCAAACAGG